CUCUCUGCUAUAUUUUCUAUCAGGCUUUGCACAGACCUAACUACUAAGGGUAUAAGACACGGCAAGAGUAGACACAACAUUAAAAUCAGUAGGACUCCACCUACCACUGCCUUAAGCCCUCCAAACCACUCAUACCAGCUACCAAACCAACUACUUGGAUUGUACCCUUUCCAUACCUGAGUAGGCACAUGCGCUAGUUUAACCAUAUGGCUAGUAAGCUCAGC
Molecule: non-coding RNA, 224 nt
Organism: Pelobates cultripes (western spadefoot toad)
Lineage: Eukaryota; Metazoa; Chordata; Amphibia; Anura; Pelobatidae
Source: the annotation of a GenBank genome assembly